AUUGAACGCUGGCGGCAGGCUUAACACAUGCAAGUCGAGCGGAGAUGAGGUGCUUGCACCUUAUCUUAGCGGCGGACGGGUGAGUAAUGCUUAGGAAUCUGCCUAUUAGUGGGGGACAACAUUCCGAAAGGAAUGCUAAUACCGCAUACGUCCUACGGGAGAAAGCAGGGGAUCUUCGGACCUUGCGCUAAUAGAUGAGCCUAAGUCGGAUUAGCUAGUUGGUGAGGUAAAGGCCUACCAAGGCGACGAUCUGUAGCGGGUCUGAGAGGAUGAUCCGCCACACUGGGACUGAGACACGGCCCAGACUCCGACGGGAGGCAGCAGUGGGGAAUAUUGGACAAUGGGGGGAACCCUGAUCCAGCCAUGCCGCGUGUGUGAAGAAGGCCUUAUGGUUGUAAGGCACUUUAAGCGAGGAGGAGGCUACUGAGACUAAUACUCUUGGAUAGUGGACGUUACUCGCAGAAUAAGCACCGGCUAACUCUGUGCCAGCCGCCGCGGUAA
RNAcentral lists this ribosomal RNA (501 nucleotides) under uncultured bacterium. RNAcentral describes it as "partial 16S ribosomal RNA". It matches the Rfam family "Bacterial small subunit ribosomal RNA", at positions 30 to 523 of the family's 1533-position model. The record is from RNAcentral.